CGGAGAACGAAAAAUAUCCAGAAGCAUUUUGCGUGCCUGCAAAGGAGUCGACGGAAAGAAAGUGAAUAAAAUUUCAAUCAAUUAACUGCAAAACAUGGACAACAGCGAAGAGCAACUGUCUGAGGAGUUAAAGUUCAAAAGAAUAUGUCGGUUUUGUCUGACCCAGGAAGAACCGUUGAGCGAUAUCUUCGUCAGCAAUCAAGCGGAAGCCAGUGGCAACAAGACCAAGACGUCGCCUCUCACACUGCAGAUCAUGGCUUGCGUUGCCAUUGAGGUGUAUAAGGAAGAUGGUAUGCCGUGCACUAUUUGCGAUAAUUGUCGCCAUUUCAUGGAUCAUUCCUAUCGGUUCAAACAGAUGUGCAAGAAAGCCGAUACGUUACUUAAGACCUAUCCAAUUACUGGGGUAUGGCCUGAGAAGCUGCAGGUUCCUGUCAAUCUGUUUAAGUGCGUCACUCUUAUACCCCCUUCAAAACCGCCGGUUCGUCAACUCCCUGUACAACAAAAGGCACCUUCUGCCUCGAUUGGUGCCAAGCCAAAACAAAAUGUAAUUCAAAUUCACGAUGUUAAAAUUAUCAAGAAAGGUACAUCCCCUGUCAAAGCUCCGCCGGUGACACCUAGUGUCGUGACGGAACCUACUGAGGACUUCAUUAUCCCGGAUAGCUCUGUUGCGCACUUGCAAAUCGAACCAGUCGAAGAAGAUGUUAAACCGAAAAUUGUUAAGCUGAGCAUUGAAGAUCUGAAACAGAUCAAGCAAGGUAAAUCGAUCAACAAAACCAAUUUUAUCAUGAAAAGUUCGUCACCUUCCAAAAAGGAUGAAGCUAUUUUAACAACAAAUCGACCUUGUGCGAGUGGAAGGCGUCCUGAGAAACAAUGUCCAGUGAAGGUGAUAAACGGUAGCCUGGGAGCCGUGAGCAAGAAACCGGUCAUUUUGAAUAGCCUGAGGCCACCAUCUAACAAAACGGAGGAACAUUUUGUACAAACCGGAGAUGGAACUUUGGAGAUCGUUUGCAUAGAAUCUCUGGAUCAGGAAGUGGUGGACCCCAUUAAAAAUGCCCCACCGGUUGAGACUCACGUAUUCCCUUGCCCCGAGUGUGAGCGGUCAUUUCCGUUACGACAGCUUUUGGAUAUUCAUAUGAAAAAUCACAACCGGGAACGCAACUACCCUUGUGAGCUGUGUGACAGACGGUUCUUCAGCAAAUAUGACCUUGCUAAACACAAUCUCACGCACACGGGUGAGCGGCCAUAUGUUUGCAUUAUUUGUAAAGCUGCAUUUUCAAGAUCCACUCUUUUGACCCGUCAUCAGAAGGUUCACAAAGACAUGCCGAAAUACUUGUGCAUGUACUGCGAGAGAACGUUCCUGUCGAACGAGGAUUUGCAGAAACACUGCCAGUUCCAUCAGAAGAGACGGCCUUUCCAAUGUCAGAAAUGUCCGAAAAGCUUUGCCUACAAGCAGGGACUCGAACGGCAUGAGGUUACCCAUGAAACAAACCUUCCGUUCCCCUGCGAGCAUUGCGACUUGACUUUUGCCACGGCCGGAAAAUUGGCACGCCAUCUGACAGCGCACGCAGGAAGUCGUCCCUAUCCGUGUCGCAUGUGCUCGAGAUCAUUCAUGCUGAGUCACCACCUCACCCGGCACGUCCGCUCGCACCAGGGAGGACAGGGUGCUUACAAGUGUAAUGACUGCACGAGCGUAUUCGACAACCAAGACGACCUAAUCUACCAUUCUGCGGAGCAUGCCACCAAAAGUUUAACGUGUCCGUUGUGUCGUGAGCACUUCGAAACGUUGGAACAAGUUACGGAACACAUCAAGGAGCACUCGGAGGGUAUUCAGUAUGCGUGCGAUUACUGUGAUUUGCUUUUUACUACCGAACAAAAACUGGACACUCACUGUCAGAAGGAACACCUGUCCGUGUUGGCCAUGGACCGUACAGAAACAGCUAAUAACUCAACGGACGAUUCAGAAUCGUCCCAGCAAUUCAUAAUCGAGGAAAUCUCUAUCAACAAGGACGGAAGCCAGCUGAUAACGACGUUUGUCGACGGAAAGGAGAAAGAGAAGAAGUUUGUGCAAAAAGAACGGGGUAAAGUGAUCAAAACCGAAAUUACCGUAGAGAAGACUCGAUUACAAGUUCAGGAGGAAUGCAACGAGGAGGAAAAUGAAGAUGGUCAACUUGACGAAGAGUGCUAUUAUGACGACGAAGAGCUGCAAGAGGAAGAAGCUGAGGAACAACCAAAAGAGGUUCUCAUUAAAAAUGAAAAACUUGAACCUAUGAACAAAAGUAAAUCGACAGCAGUGCCAGCACAAAAACCACCAGUUUCGAAACCAGCAACUCCAAAAGCAUCUCCAGCAGUAGAUGCACAAAAAUCAGUUACACAGCAAAAGUUAGACGCUUUCUUCAAAAAAGCGCAAAUUCCCGUGACAUCAUCCAGCUCGAAAACGGUCGGAGAUGUUCUGAAAAAUCUACCCAAAGGUGUGGUAGUUAGAAGACCUGCUGCAACUACUCCUACUCCCAGUCCCGUAGAGAAAAAAACAGAACCUUCACCUAAGGGAUCACCUAAUGGAUCUACUCCUCCAAAGCCUCCAACCAUGGCUCCAAAAUCAGUUGCAGUACAAAAAAAGUCACCUGCUAAUGUGCAACUUCCGCAACGUACUUCCGAUGUUUCUACAGCUAAGAAUAACCCUGUGAAACCACAGCCUACGAAAUCAUCACCCAGAAUCGCAGCAAAGCGACCAGCGGAGCCAUCGAAGUCACCAUCCCCCACCAAAAAGAUGGCCGUAGAACCCAAAACUCCUGCAGCCUCCGGGUCAUCGACAAAGCCAGUUGCAAAAGCAGUUCUCAAACCGGGUGCCACCAUACCUGGAUCAGCUAAAAAGGGCAAAACAUUCGAAAUGAAGAUCGGUGAUAAAAUGGUGAAGGUUCAGAAGGUAGUAAUGACGAAGGCCGAAGUUGCCGCAAUGGCCCGUGACGGAAAGAUCGAAAUGCAGGGGGACACGAUGAUUCUGAAGCAAACUAAAGCUAAGAAACAAUAGGUAUGUGUUUAUGUGGGGAUGAGAGGUACACCGUCCCCCGCAUGUGGUAAGUAAUAUUUGCUUAUAAUUUGCAAAACUAUUCGUUUAUGACGAGCUGAAAAGUGUAUAAAGCACCAGGUAAUAAAUAUUCCACAGUAUUGUUUAAGACUUGUUCAAUUGGAUGACAUUAUGGGUUCAGGGUUGUUCAAGUUGAUAUGUGUCCAAAUAUGUAAUUAUUCCUUGGGCAUUGUUAACAUUGAGAAUUGCUUAACGGCAACCAGGUCCCAGGGCUUGUCUGUAUCUUUGCAUUUUGAAAGAUGCACACUAGUGAUGCCAGUUGUGAUGUAGCGGACCAAAAGUUUGUUGGAAUUUAACUACUAGCCAAAAUUUAAUAAUUCCAUGAUAGAGGGAUAGAAGAUCAUUUUAUUUUCAUAAAAAAACAAAACCAUCAUAACAGAUUAUCAGGAAAGCCCUUAAGUGUGGGAUCCCGGAGAAGAAGAAAAUGGGAAGACCAUGCUUCACAUGGAAAACCAACGCAAGGCACGAUGUAGAAGGAAGUGGUCGAUCGGCGGAUUAUUGGCAAGAGAUGUCUAAUAACUGAAGCGAGUUUAAAACAGCCACGACAAGAUUGUUCACUGAAAUGGUGGAACUAGAAUACGAAGACUCGGAAGAUACUCUCAGUGCUCUCACGGAGACACCCGUGACGAAAAAACUCUAGGAGUUAAAAGUCAAGUAAAUGUUAAUGCCUAGCCUCAGUGAUUCAAGUAGCGAUAAUCAACUGAACAUCAACCCGGUUUCUCUAACGACGAUAAUGAGGCUUUCCCAGGAUUCGUCUAAUUAGUAUCAUAAUAAUAUACCAUCGCGCUAUUGUCAAACUCUGUGAUGGUAAAAUCAACUAACAACUUCCUUUACUUUACACCA
This is an RNA transcript of Ochlerotatus camptorhynchus, 3928 nucleotides long. It is a transcript of the gene named zinc finger protein pita-like, with no coding region annotated. NCBI's taxonomy places the organism in Eukaryota, Metazoa, Arthropoda, Insecta, Diptera, Culicidae. The transcript has 7 exons. The record is from RefSeq and is a predicted model, not a curated record.